GGAGGAGCAGCGGGGUGAAACUGACACAGGUCUGGUGAUUUCACUUUGCUGCUCCUCCUGAUUUUCA
This is a microRNA precursor of Ochotona princeps (American pika), 67 nucleotides long. Lineage: Eukaryota; Metazoa; Chordata; Mammalia; Lagomorpha; Ochotonidae. The record is from Ensembl.